Molecule: ribosomal RNA, 254 nt
Filed under: uncultured bacterium
Lineage: Bacteria
Description: partial 16S ribosomal RNA
Rfam family: Bacterial small subunit ribosomal RNA
Source: RNAcentral
UACGGGGGGAGCAAGCGUUGUUCGGAUUUACUGGGCGUAAAGGGCGCGUAGGCGGCCACCGCAAGUCGGUUGUGAAAUCUCUGGGCUUAACCCAGAAAGGUCAACCGAUACUGCGGGGCUAGAGUGCAGAAGGGGCAACUGGAAUUCUCGGUGUAGCGGUGAAAUGCGUAGAUAUCAGGAGGAACACCGAUGGCGAAGGCAGGUCUCUGGGCUGACACUGACGCUCAUGCACGAAAGCGUGGGGAGCAAACAGG